This 467-nucleotide ribosomal RNA is filed under the name uncultured bacterium. RNAcentral describes it as "partial 16S ribosomal RNA". It matches the Rfam family "Bacterial small subunit ribosomal RNA", at positions 28 to 507 of the family's 1533-position model. The record is from RNAcentral.
GAUGAACGCUGGCGGCGUGCUUAACACAUGCAAGUCGAACGGAAAGGCCCAAGCUUGCUUGGGUACUCGAGUGGCGAACGGGUGAGUAACACGUGGGUGAUCUGCCCUGCACUUCGGGAUAAGCCUGGGAAACUGGGUCUAAUACCGGAUAGGACCACUUCUUGGAUGUUGUGGUGGAAAGUUUUUUGGGUGUGGGAUGAGCUCGCGGCCUAUCUGCUUGUUGGUGGGGUAAUGGCCUACCAAGGCGUCGACGGGUAGCCGGCCUGGGAGGGUGUACGGCCACAUUGGGACUGGGAUACGGCCCAGACGCCUACGGGAGGCAGCAGUGGGGAAUAUUGCACAAUGGGCGCAAGCCUGAUGCAGCGACGCCGCGUGGGGGAUGACGGCCUUCGGGUUGGAAACUCCUUUCGCUAGGGACGAAGCGUUUUGUGACGGUACCUGGAGAAGAAGCACCGGCUAACUACGUG